AUUGAACGCUGGCGGCAUGCUUUACACAUGCAAGUCGAACGGCAGCGCGGGCUUCGGCCUGGCGGCGAGUGGAGAACGGGUGAGUAAUGCAUCGGAACGUGCCCAGGUGUGGGGGAUAGCCCGGCGAAAGCCGGAUUAAUACCGCAUACGACCUGCGGGUGAAAGCGGGGGAUCGAAAGGCCUCGCGCUAUUGGAGCGGCCGAUGUCGGAUUAGCUAGUUGGUGGGGUAAAGGCUUACCAAGGCGACGAUCCGUAGCUGGUCUGAGCGGACGACCAGCCACACUGGGACUGGGACACGGCCCAGACUCCUACGGGAGGCAGCAGUGGGGAAUUUUGGACAAGGGGGGCAACCCUGAUCCAGCCAUGCCGCGUGCGGGAAGAAGGCCUUCGGGUUGUAAACCGCUUUUGUUCGGGAAGAAAUCCUCUGGGCUAAUACCCCGGGGGGAUGACGGUACCGGAAGAAUAAGCACCGGCUAACUACGUG
Molecule: ribosomal RNA, 484 nt
Filed under: uncultured bacterium
Lineage: Bacteria
Description: partial 16S ribosomal RNA
Rfam family: Bacterial small subunit ribosomal RNA
Source: RNAcentral